This 254-nucleotide unclassified non-coding RNA is filed under the name Hevea brasiliensis (rubber tree). The record is from RNAcentral. Lineage: Eukaryota; Viridiplantae; Streptophyta; Magnoliopsida; Malpighiales; Euphorbiaceae.
AAUACAGCAAACUUGUAACGAUAGAUAAUAUAAUUGAAUGGUAUAUCCUUUAAAUAUAUGGAUAUUCUUCAAUUAUGCGCUGAAACCCUUGUUAAGGGAGCUCCACGGACCAGAUGGAAAGCUCACACAAGCUUGUGCUGAUGCUUCGGCCAUCUGUUCCUCUCCAAUUCCAGCAUUGCAGAGGUUUGCAAUAGACCGCAUGUGCUUCAUUCCGUACUGGGACAGGGAUCCACAAUGUGUCUCAAAUGUCCUCA